CGCUUAUGCGUUGUUGGGUAGGGGAGCGUUCUGUAAGCCUGUGAAGGUGGCCUGUGAGGGUUGCUGGAGGUAUCAGAAGUGCGAAUGCUGACAUAAGUAACGAUAAAGCGGGUGAAAAGCCCGCUCGCCGGAAGACCAAGGGUUCCUGUCCAACGUUAAUCGGGGCAGGGUGAGUCGACCCCUAAGGCGAGGCCGAAAGGCGUAGUCGAUGGGAAACGGGUUAAUAUUCCCGUACUUGGUGUUACUGCGAAGGGGGGACGGAGAAGGCUAUGUUGGCCGGGCGACGGUUGUCCCGGUUUAAGCGUGUAGGUGUGUGUUCCAGGUAAAUCCGGUUCACUUUAACACUGAGGCGUGAUGACGAGGCACUACGGUGCUGAAGCAACAAAUGCCCUGCUUCCAGGAAAAGCCUCUAAGCAUCAGGUAACAUCAAAUCGUACCCCAAACCGACACAGGUGGUCAGGUAGAGAAUACCAAGGCGCUUGAGAGAACUCGGGUGAAGGAACUAGGCAAAAUGGUGCCGUAACUUCGGGAGAAGGCACGCUGACAUGUAGGUGAAGCGGUUUACCCGUGGAGCUGAAAUCAGUCGAAGAUACCAGCUGGCUGCAACUGUUUAUUAAAAACACAGCACUGUGCAAACACGAAAGUGGACGUAUACGGUGUGACGCCUGCCCGGUGCCGGAAGGUUAAUUGAUGGGGUCAGCGCAAGCGAAGCUCCUGAUCGAAGCCCCGGUAAACGGCGGCCGUAACUAUAACGGUCCUAAGGUAGCGAAAUUCCNGACGCCUGCCCGGUGCCGGAAGGUUAAUUGAUGGGGUCAGCGCAAGCGAAGCUCCUGAUCGAAGCCCCGGUAAACGGCGGCCGUAACUAUAACGGUCCUAAGGUAGCGAAAUUCCUUGUCGGGUAAGUUCCGACCUGCACGAAUGGCGUAAUGAUGGCCAGGCUGUCUCCACCCGAGACUCAGUGAAAUUGAACUCGCUGUGAAGAUGCAGUGUACCCGCGGCAAGACGGAAAGACCCCGUGAACCUUUACUAUAGCUUGACACUGAACAUUGAGCCUUGAUGUGUAGGAUAGGUGGGAGGCUUUGAAGUGUGGACGCCAGUCUGCAUGGAGCCGACCUUGAAAUACCACCCUUUAAUGUUUGAUGUUCUAACGUGGACCCGU
RNAcentral lists this ribosomal RNA (1159 nucleotides) under Salmonella enterica subsp. enterica serovar Weltevreden. Its description in RNAcentral is "bacterial LSU rRNA". It matches the Rfam family "Bacterial large subunit ribosomal RNA", at positions 1212 to 2236 of the family's 2925-position model. The record is from RNAcentral. Lineage: Bacteria; Pseudomonadati; Pseudomonadota; Gammaproteobacteria; Enterobacterales; Enterobacteriaceae.